Non-coding RNA from Pelobates cultripes (western spadefoot toad), 445 nucleotides. NCBI's taxonomy places the organism in Eukaryota, Metazoa, Chordata, Amphibia, Anura, Pelobatidae. The record is from the annotation of a GenBank genome assembly.
GCACAAUAACCACUACUGCUCCAGAGUAAGUAGUCAAACCGUUUAAAAACAGUUUGACAACUUACCUGGGGUCUGCUGGGAUAUGGGGCUGUAGUAGGGAAUAGGAGCAGUGGUGCAAUGUAUGUGAAAGGUUCAGUGUGUGUGUGGGGGUGUAGUGUGUGAAUGUGUAGGGUGUGUGGGCAGUGUAUGUGUGUGGCAAUGUUAGUAUGGGGGCUGUGUAUGGGGGUCUGUGUGUAUAUGGGUGGGCAGUGUAUGUGUGUGUGUGAGGCAAUGUGUGUAAAUAUGUAUGGUGUGUAUGGGGGCAGUGUGUGAAUGUGUAUGGUGUGUGUGUGUGGGGGCAGUGUGUUUAUGGGGCUAGAGUUCACUCUCACCACUGCGACCACCAGGAAUCCAUUGGGGUUACAGUGUUGAGAGUGAACUCUAGCCCGUAGCUCCAGGGCUAGAG